Molecule: long non-coding RNA, 1760 nt
Organism: Brassica napus (rape)
Lineage: Eukaryota; Viridiplantae; Streptophyta; Magnoliopsida; Brassicales; Brassicaceae
Exons: 4
Source: RefSeq, a predicted model, not a curated record
CUAAAAGGCUAAUAUACUCAAUGGAGAGGCAUGCCACGUCCUCAUAAUAAAUCAACCAAUCAGGGACAAGUGUUUUAACACGUCAUUACUACUUCCGUCUAAUGCCUUUGGGCUGUCUAUACAUUUUAAAAUAUCCCAGUUCAAGCCCAUUUUCGUAUAAACCUAAUUUCUUCUGAAGCAUAGAACUGAUCUUUUCUCGACUCUUCCCCUUCAUCUUCACUGGUUGCUCUGUAGCUCCGUUUCCGCUUGGUCCUCUUGAUUAAUCAAUGAAGCUAUUUAAUCUUUUCUUUAUUGUUUCGUUUUACCUCCCUCUGUUUUUUCUUAUAUAUAAAUUGAUGCCAUAUCUUCGUCUCUGCUCUUCCACUCCACAAAGCCGUCAAUCAAAACUCAGCGCAUCCAUGGCUAACAACAAUGGGAAAAUCAUUUGCGACAGCUCCAGCUAAUGGUAAAUCGCAAAAAUCCCUCACCUUUUUAAUCCCAAAUCUAAGCAUUUUAAGUUUGCUGAGAUGACAUCGUCGUGGCUGAUCUGGUUCGUUGUUACUUUGUUAUUUCUGCUUCGUUUAUCCCAUGCGAUUUUUGGCGCAAUUUGAAACGCGCUCCUACAAAGAUAUCAUGUUUUCGUAAUAUAUGUGUUUCAUCAAUUAGUUUGAUUUUAACUCUAUGUGAUUACUUUUCCUACAGUUUUUCCAGAUAUAUUGAUUCAGAUGAUAACCAGAAAAGAGCUAAACGUCUAUUGUGAUAAAGGUGAUUUGCUUGGUCAUUUUAUCAAUAUACAUUAUAGAAUAUAUAUAAUUUCAUCUCCCCAGCACUAAUAAAGCCAUACUUUGUUCUUGGACAGCGCAUGUCAAGUUCUUAUUUGUCUAAAACGAACUUAUCCACUUAAUUUUGAAGUAAAUUUAUUAUGAAAAUUUGAGGGUCUAAGUUAAAGUAAGAAGCAUGGGACGACAAUGCUUUGUGGAUAUCAAUAGCCUCAACUUUCUAUUCAUGUACCAAGUAUUUACAAGGUAAACUAUUUUAACAUCUCAAAUUCAAAUCAAUAUUUACAUUGAGUAUAACAAUUAUUUAAGCAUUGGGAGUCAGCUCUUGAAAGAGUCACAGAUGUUCAUGUUCCAUAUUCAGUUGAAGUUUUUGAAGCUCACUGCGACAUGAGUGGUGAUUUAUACGAUGUGGUAGGCCAUAUGAAGCUGAUCGAUUGUUAUAAUCUAAACAUACAGAGUGGAAAUAUUUGUAUACGGUAAUGGGGACAACACAACUAUUGGGCGAGAAGUUUCUGAGCUGAUGGACAACUAUGGGGCGAGAAGUUUCUGAGCUGAUGGACAACUACGGGGAGGCUAAUGGGGGUAAUGGUAAGUCAUCCAACCCAGCGAUGAGUUGUGAUGAAGAAAACAAGGCCAACCACCCCUACGCCAGCACUUAAAAGGGUCCCUCACUGAACAUUGGCACUUGAGGGCCCAUGCACAUCUGCAUCACUACAUUACAAUUGUGUUUCGUUUUACGUUGCGUAGAGUUUACCCUUUUUUUUUACAGAAGUUCAGUAUGCAUUUGUUCAACAGGCUGCUGUUCAACUUGCAAUCUACAAAUCUUUAAACAAUUCACUUUAUAAAUAAAUUGGAAAAGAUAUAUAAGUAAAUGUGGGAUUUGUAAUAAGAUCGAAACAAAGGAGACAACACAAUCUAAAAAACAUUUCUUCCUAACAGAGAGAAAAAGAUUAUUAAAAACAUUUACUUAUAUAUGUUUUUUUAAUUACUUAUAUAUCUUAA